Long non-coding RNA from Salvelinus sp. IW2-2015, 2572 nucleotides. RefSeq lists it as uncharacterized. The transcript has 4 exons. NCBI's taxonomy places the organism in Eukaryota, Metazoa, Chordata, Actinopteri, Salmoniformes, Salmonidae. The record is from RefSeq and is a predicted model, not a curated record.
AGGGUUGAAAUAAACACGCGCCAAAUGCGGGUAGAUUUUCUGUUUGGCGAGUAAAUCUCAGAAGGCUAUCCGCCACACUGGCGGGUAAAUGUUUGUACCAAAAUAGUCAUGUAAUAAAAUAUCUGGCAUGAUGUCUCAGGAAAUGACUCAUGUUUGCCAGUCACAGACCAUCUCUAGUGCUCCUAGUUUCGCGGCGCUGUUCACCGUACAGGACAUCAGCUACUCGACAUCGCUCACUUGCCAUGGGUCUGCUGCUAGCUACCGUUCAUUAAAUAGCUGUUAUGUGGCGACAUUUACCUGGAGUAAGCCAACCUUUGAAACGAAAACACACAGACGAAAAGGAGGACAAAUCACAUAAAAAAAUAAAGUUUGAUGAGAAAUGGAGGUUUGGAGAUAAAGGAGUUUCAAGAGGCUGGCUACAGUAUCUGAUGCCUAGGCUGUGGUGAUGAGUUGUUCUGUGUGUCACCAGUAUGCUAAAGAUAAAAGCAGAAACAACUCAUUUGUCAUCAGAAAUAAAACAAAGCUGGAGAACAUUCAUGUCCAUGAACGCAGCAAGUGUCACAUUGCCUAUGUGUCUGUGUCCCGGACUCAAUCGUGUCCCGGAGCCUCUCCUCCUGACACCCUCUGUGACGGCGCUGAUGGCAAUGUCAGAGCAGACCAGCACGAAGUUGAAGAUACUGUUUAGGACUGUACAUGCCAUUGGCAAGAAGACGAGACCACUUUCUGACUUCAAGUGGAUGUGUGAUUUGGAUGAAAAAACAAGGAAUCGCUGUGGACAACAUAUAGAAAUGAGAAGCAGGCCAAAGAGUUUAUGCACCAUAUUGCAGAGGUGGAGAGAAACGGCAUCAGAGAGAAUAUGAAAAACACUACAUUUCUCUCCGUCAUGUCAGAUGGCUCCACAGACAGUUCUGUGAAAGAGGAGUUAGUUUGUCAGAUUCUGUCAUAAGGGCAAGAUCGAGUCAACGUUUGUUGGCAUCAAGUCGGUGAAGAAGGCAGUAAGCAAUGCUGUCAGUGCCAUCAUGGAGGGAGUGUGUGAGUGGGGGAGCAAGUUAUUCGCUCUGGGAACAGAUGGAGCUGCUGUGAUGACCGGAGCCAAGAAUGGUGUGGUCAGCCGACUGAAGGGGGACAGGGCCUACAUCAUCCGAAUCCACUGUAUGGCACACCGCCUUCAACUGACCUUUUCUGAUGCCAUCCGGUCCAACGUGAUGUUUCAGAAAGUAGAAGACCUCCUCUGUGGGCUCUACACCAGUCCACUGAACAGUGAAAACCUGGUAAACAGCUUCCAGGCUCUUGGGCACACACCACUGGUGCCCACCAGAAUUGGCAGGACCCGAUGGGUAGGACACCUAUUGCGUGCACUGGACCACGUCCUGCGAGGUUACCAGGGGUGUGUCCAGCACCUGAAACAGAUUCAAUCUGCUGAUGCCCAAAAUGUCUGAGGUGUCCAGCAGGCCAAGGCCAGGAAAUACUAUAGUACUGCGAGGGAGGCUGUUAUCCGCUUCUGUGGCUUCCUGCAUGACACACUAACACAUCUGAGCAACCUGUCUGCCUGUCUGCAGAGGUCCACCAUCACCAUAGCAGAAGCCCACAGCUCCUUGUGCUCAACACAGGCAUUACUUAAGAAGUACAAAACCAGAUUUUGGUGACACUGAACUGGAAACCCUGGUGGACCACUUCAAGCCUGUCCUGGAGACCUUUGGCAUCCAUGUUGAAAGGAUCCCUGACCAGUGGACUGUCCUGAAGGUGCUGAUGUACCAAGAGCCCCAGUCCCUGCAGAAGAUGUCCUGGUUCUGUGUCAACAGCAGCCAUCAGCAGUCCUGCCCUGGUGUGCUGGCAUUGGUUGACCUGGUCCCGUCCUUCCCUGCCUCCACAGCUGAAUGUGAAAGAGUUUUUAAUACCAUGAAACAGAUGAAAACCGAUUGGCGGUCUAACCUAAAGUCUGAUACACUGUCAGAUCUCUUUAUGGUCCAGCUGUUCUCUCCAGAGAUCAGGGAGUAUGAUCCGAUAAAAGCUGUGAUGCUGUGGCACCAGGACUCUGUCAGGAGUAGGAGGACUUCAUAGACCGUGCAAAGAGGGUGAUUGCAGUAGAGAGUGAGGAGUCUGAGGAGGUUUAAGUUUAUUAAAAUGAUUAAGCAUCUGAUAGGUUUACAAAACCUUCAAAUGUACUGUUAUGUUUGAUCCUUAAGUACUUUUAAUAGCAAAUACUAAAGUAGAAUUUUGAAUUCAAGACUUAAGUUGUAUUCAGGCUGGGAAAUUAAAUCUAGCCACAGCCAAAAUUAACCAGCGAGUAUUUCUACUCAAAGUAAAGGAUUUGUAGACCUGCUUCCCCUGUUUCCCCUUUGUAUCAGUUCUACUGCACUUCUCAUAAUUGUAUCUUACCAUUGUUGUUGCCCUGUUUUGACUUCUAUGUACUCUUAUUCAUUGUAUCUGAUAUGUUUGGUUUAUUUCAUUGUGUGCCCACUGUUUGGUGUUUUUUCACUCUGUACAGCACUUUUGGUCAACUACAGUUGUUUUUAAACGUGCUCUACAAAUAAACUGAUCAAUAUAUUAAAAUAAUUUUGUUUCAAAUUUU